RNAcentral lists this ribosomal RNA (813 nucleotides) under uncultured bacterium. RNAcentral's name for it is "bacterial SSU rRNA". It matches the Rfam family "Bacterial small subunit ribosomal RNA", at positions 37 to 835 of the family's 1533-position model. The record is from RNAcentral.
UGGCGGCAGCUACCAUGCAGUCGAGCGGAGCGAGUUAUCUGAACCUUCGGGGGACGAUAACGGCGUCGAGCGGCGGACGGGUGAGUAAUGCCUAGGAAAUUGCCCUGAUGUGGGGGAUAACCAUUGGAAACGAUGGCUAAUACCGCAUGAUGCCUACGGGCCAAAGAGGGGGACCUUCGGGCCUCUCGCGUCAGGAUAUGCCUAGGUGGGAUUAGCUAGUUGGUGAGGUAAUGGCUCACCAAGGCGACGAUCCCUAGCUGGUCUGAGAGGAUGAUCAGCCACACUGGAACUGAGACACGGUCCAGACUCCUACGGGAGGCAGCAGUGGGGAAUAUUGCACAAUGGGCGCAAGCCUGAUGCAGCCAUGCCGCGUGUGUGAAGAAGGCCUUCGGGUUGUAAAGCACUUUCAGUCGUGAGGAAGGUAGUGUAGUUAAUAGCUGCAUUAUUUGACGUUAGCGACAGAAGAAGCACCGGCUAACUCCGUGCCAGCAGCCGCGGUAAUACGGAGGGUGCGAGCGUUAAUCGGAAUUACUGGGCGUAAAGCGCAUGCAGGUGGUUUGUUAAGUCAGAUGUGAAAGCCCGGGGCUCAACCUCGGAAUUGCAUUUGAAACUGGCAGACUAGAGUACUGUAGAGGGGGGUAGAAUUUCAGGUGUAGCGGUGAAAUGCGUAGAGAUCUGAAGGAAUACCGGUGGCGAAGGCGGCCCCCUGGACAGAUACUGACACUCAGAUGCGAAAGCGUGGGGAGCAAACAGGAUUAGAUACCUUGGUAGUCCACGCCGUAAACGAUGUCUACUUGGAGGUUGUGGCCUUGA